RNAcentral lists this long non-coding RNA (412 nucleotides) under Apteryx owenii (little spotted kiwi). Its description in RNAcentral is "lncRNA (ENSAOWG00000001794.1)". Lineage: Eukaryota; Metazoa; Chordata; Aves; Apterygiformes; Apterygidae. The record is from RNAcentral.
GAGCUGACUGCUUGAAUUUGUGGUUCCCACACAGGUGCUGCAUCCCGCACAACGUUCUUUUCUGCGGCAGAUGCACAAUCAACGUUUGAGUUGCCAAACGUAAAGCUGCAAUAACUUGAUCUCAACAUAAAGGAGGACAAGAACGAUUGUGGGAAGGAUAAAAAUGGAAUAACUAGUUUAUCAAUAUACAAUCUGCACUGGUUUAAUAUGUGACAAGGAGGCAAGCCAGCAGUGCAGAAUGGCAAUGGAUAUGAUGCAGUUGAGCAAGCAAGAGAAAUUAAGGAUGAAAAGGCAGAAGAUUUUCUGAAAAAUCAGAUUCUGGUCUUACAUUUCAGUCCUACAGAAGACAAGCUUGUAUGGUGCACAUACGAUCCUAGUAUCACAGAGAAACCUGAAUAAUCAGAAGCAUCGG